AGCGAACGUUUGCGGCGGGCCUAACACAUGCAAGUCGAACGCACUAGCAAUAGUGAGUGGCGCACGGGUGCGUAACACGUGGGUAAUCAACCCUUCAGCCUGGGAUAACGACUCGAAAGGGUCGCUAAUACCGGAUACGGCGCGAGAGGCUUCGGCUUCUCACGAGAAAGCCCACGCAAGGGGCACUGAAGGACGAGCCUGCGGCCCAUCAGCUAGUUGGUGAGGUAAGAGCUCACCAAGGCUAAGACGGGUAGCUGGUCUGAGAGGAUGAUCAGCCACACUGGAACUGAGACACGGUCCAGACUCCUACGGGAGGCAGCAGUGGGGAAGUAUUGCGCAAUGGGCGAAAGCCUGACGCAGCCACGCCGCGUGAGCGAUGAAGGCCUU
This 387-nucleotide ribosomal RNA is filed under the name uncultured bacterium. RNAcentral describes it as "bacterial SSU rRNA". It matches the Rfam family "Bacterial small subunit ribosomal RNA", at positions 29 to 418 of the family's 1533-position model. The record is from RNAcentral.